AGGAGUUUAUCUCGACUGAGUAGCUUCCCCGCCACUCCUCUAAAAUCCCUCCUCAAAAACCCCAAGUUAAAAAAAAAAAAGAUCUAUUCUUGUAGAUUUUUUUUGUGUGGGUCUAUGUUUCAUUCAUCUGCUUUCAGGCUGGAUUUAUAACAAGCAGAACUUUUAAAACGGUAUGAUUUUAAAAUAAAAUUAAAAAAAAAACACGCUGAGAUCUUUCCAUAGCUUUGGCUUCUGGGAGUUGAAAGCGCAGCUUCAGGAAAAAGAGGACCUUAGAACUGAAGGAGCAAGAUUCCAACAUCACACUGUUUUUGUUAGCUGUGUGUGUGUGUUUCCUGUGUAUCCAAAAGACAGAGGAGAUGAAAAAGCAAAAGAAAAGAAACGAGGAAUCAGAUUGGAAAGAAGGUUUCUCCAGGACGUCACCUGUAUGAGGUACACAGUGUGAUGACACACUCUGUGCUUUUCCUACUUGUGUCCACGUGAGUGUCUGGAGCUGCCCUUCAAGGAGAGCAAUAGAUGAAUGAUUCUGCCUUCCCGCUGAGAGGGAUGUGGGUCCUGCGGAUGGUCGGGGUGAAGCUUCCUCUCCUUUCUGCUGACAGCACUUCCUCAUUAAAUGCAGAGAUCUGCAAAAAGGGAAAAUAAAAACACAAGAAGAAAAAUGAGGCAUCAAAGACCCUCCUCUUAUGCCCAUGGGGAUUUGGAGGACGGGUUAUUUCUUUGCUUUCCCAAAGGGCCCAAGAAGAGCUUCCGGGGAGAGGGAGAGCACCCUUUUUGAGGAUUCCCGACAAGCCUGUCUCCCGAGGGCUCCUGUAGGAGAG
RNAcentral lists this long non-coding RNA (815 nucleotides) under Homo sapiens (human). RNAcentral describes it as "non-protein coding lnc-TOMM20-2:23". The record is from RNAcentral. Lineage: Eukaryota; Metazoa; Chordata; Mammalia; Primates; Hominidae.